RNAcentral lists this ribosomal RNA (789 nucleotides) under Triticum aestivum (bread wheat). RNAcentral describes it as "partial small subunit ribosomal RNA". The record is from RNAcentral. Lineage: Eukaryota; Viridiplantae; Streptophyta; Magnoliopsida; Poales; Poaceae.
AUCCCAGGCCUCACCCCGAUUUGUAAUAUAUGUGGGGCCGAGGAUGAAACAGGCUUCCAUAUGGCACAUCGAUGCACAUUUGCAAGGGCCUUGUGGCACGAACUCAAGGAGGCAUGGAACCUGCCUCCUGAGCAGGAAGUAGAAUAUACUGGAAGGGAUUGGGUCCUAAUCUUGCUAGAUAAGGUGAGUGAAGAUAUGAAACAAAAAUUUAUGCUAUUUUGGUGGCGUGUUUGGCACCAUAGAAAUGACGCGAUCUUCGCAAAAGGUAAAGCGAAAAUUUCCCACUCUGCUCGUUUUCUGCAAAACUACCUUGCAAACAUCCGCUUGAUUGCGGAGGGAACUUCUGAGAUAGAUCGAAAAGGGAAAAGUCCGAUGGUUAACUUGCCAUCAGUGCAACAACAUGAUCAUACAAAGGAAAAAGGAUGGACAAUGCCAGAGCUCGGAUGGGCUAAGGUCAAUGUUGAUGGAAGUUUUUUGGAGGAAAAUAGGAGUGGAGCCUGGGGAGCUGUGAUUCGAGAUCAUGAUGGAAGAAUUAUCUUAUCAGCUUGGGAUUAUAUACCGCGGUGCAAUGGAGCGGACUGCGCGGAAGCCAUGGCUUGCCUAGAAGGACUAAGGAUGGCAAUGUCGGGGACGAAUCUACCCUUAAUCAUCGAGACGGAUUGCAGCUCGGUGACAAAGGCGCUUAUCCUCUCGUCUAUUGAUAGAUCGGAGGUUGCAACAAUUGUAAAGGAGUUUCAAGCCAUGAAAGGGAACAGAGAAGUAAAAGUUUGCAAAGUAGAUAGAAGGGAC